UUGAUCCUGGCUCAGAAUCAACGCUGGCGGCGUGCCUAACACAUGCAAGUCGAACGCGAAAAGGGCUUCGGCUCUUAGUAGAGUGGCGAACGGGUGAGUUACACGUGGGUGACCUACCUUCGAAUGGGGGAUAACGUCCCGAAAGGGACUCUAAUACCGCAUAACAUCCUGCCUUUGAACAGGUGGAGAUCAAAGCCGGUGAUCGCAAGACCUGGCGUUUGAAGAGGGGCCCGCGUCUGAUUAGCUAGUUGGUGAGGUAACGGCCCACCAAGGCGACGAUCAGUAUCCGGCCUGAGAGGUCGGACGGACACACUGGGACUGAGACACGGCCCAGACUCCUACGGGAGGCUGCAGUGGGGAAUUGUUCGCAAUGGGCGCAAGCCUGACGACGCAACGCCGUGUGGAGGAUGAAGGUCUUCGGAUUGUAAACUCCUGUUGCCCGGGACGAAUAGCUUCGACCUAACACGUCGAAGUCUGACGGUACCGGGUGAGGAAGCCCUGGCUAACUCUGUGCCAGCAGCCGCGGUAAUAAGGU
RNAcentral lists this ribosomal RNA (535 nucleotides) under uncultured Acidobacteriota bacterium. RNAcentral's name for it is "bacterial SSU rRNA". It matches the Rfam family "Bacterial small subunit ribosomal RNA", at positions 13 to 529 of the family's 1533-position model. Lineage: Bacteria; Pseudomonadati; Acidobacteriota. The record is from RNAcentral.